RNAcentral lists this ribosomal RNA (373 nucleotides) under uncultured bacterium. Its description in RNAcentral is "bacterial SSU rRNA". It matches the Rfam family "Bacterial small subunit ribosomal RNA", at positions 527 to 898 of the family's 1533-position model. The record is from RNAcentral.
GGGGGGGGCAAGCGUUGUUCGGAAUUACUGGGCGUAAAGGGUGCGUAGGCGGCUCUCUAAGUCGGAUGUGAAAACUCUGGGCUCAACCCAGAGCCUGCAUCCGAAACUGGAGGGCUAGGGUUCUGGAGGGGAAAGCGGAAUUCCUGGUGUAGCGGUGAAAUGCGUAGAUAUCAGGAGGAACACCGGUGGCGAAGGCGGCUUUCUGGACAGAUACCGACGCUGAGGCACGAAAGCUAGGGGAGCAAACAGGAUUAGAUACCCUGGUAGUCCUAGCCCUAAACUAUGGAUACUUGCUGUGGGGGGGAUUGAAGCCCCUUGUGGCGAAGCUAACGCAUUAAGUAUCCCGCCUGGGGAGUACGGUCGCAAGGCUGAA